GAGAGCAUGCAGAACAGAGAUCUUGAGGUAGAAGGAAAAACUGAAAUUUCAUUCCUUAUUUAUUAAUAAAGAAAUAUGAUUUUGUGGAAAUAAAAUCAGGGAACAAGCGAAACUGUGAAAACUUCAUUCCUUAUUUAUUUUGUAUGCAGUAGAUAUAGCUAAGAUAAAAAAUGCGAUGCAAAACAAACAUAAGACAAUAAAAA
Molecule: long non-coding RNA, 203 nt
Filed under: Panax ginseng (ginseng)
Lineage: Eukaryota; Viridiplantae; Streptophyta; Magnoliopsida; Apiales; Araliaceae
Description: long non-coding RNA (PGIN_LNC007250)
Source: RNAcentral